UACGUAGGUCGCAAGCGUUGUCCGGAUUUACUGGGCGUAAAGAGCGCGCAGGCGGCUGGUCAAGUCCGAUGUGAAAGCUCCCGGCUUAACUGGGAAACGGCAUCGGAAACUGAUCGGCUUGAAGGUGGGAGAGAGUAGUGGAAUUCCCGGUGUAGUGGUGAAAUGCGUAGAUAUCGGGAGGAACACCAGUGGCGAAGGCGACUUCCUGGCCUGUUCUUGACGCUGAGGCGCGAAAGCUAGGGGAGCAAACGGG
Molecule: ribosomal RNA, 253 nt
Filed under: uncultured bacterium
Lineage: Bacteria
Description: partial 16S ribosomal RNA
Rfam family: Bacterial small subunit ribosomal RNA
Source: RNAcentral